Molecule: ribosomal RNA, 1935 nt
Filed under: marine metagenome
Description: bacterial LSU rRNA
Rfam family: Bacterial large subunit ribosomal RNA
Source: RNAcentral
UCAAGUGAAUAAGUGCAUACGACGGAUGCCUUGGCAGUAGAAGGCGAUGAAGGACGUGAUAAUCUGCGAUAAGCUUCGGUUAGCUGAUAAUAAGCUCUAACCCGGAGAUCUCCGAAUGGGAAAACCCAGUGAUCAUAAGAUCAUUAUCCUUAACUGAAUACAUAGGUUAAGGAGGCAAACCUAGGGAACUGAAACAUCUAAGUACCUAGAGGAAAAGAAAUCAACCGAGAUUCCCUUAGUAGCGGCGAGCGAACGGGGACCAGCCCUUAAGCAAUUUUUUGAUUAGUAGAAUGUUCUGGAAAGUUCAACGACACAGGGUGAUAGUCCCGUAUACGAAAAUCUUUUAAUUGUGAAAUCGAGUAAGGCGGCGCACGUGAAACGCUGUUUGAAUAUGGGGGGACCACCCUCCAAGGCUAAAUACUCUCUACUGACCGAUAGUGAACAAGUACCGUGAGGGAAAGGCGAAAAGAACCCCGGGAGGGGAGUGAAAUAGAACCUGAAAUCGUAUGCAUACAAGCAGUAGGAGCAGACUUGUUCUGUGACUGCGUACCUUUUGUAUAAUGGGUCAGCGACUUACUUCUCAGUAGCAAGGUUAACCAUUAGGGGAGCCGUAGGGAAACCGAGUCUUAAAUGGGCGAUUAGUUGCUGGGAGUAGACCCGAAACCGGGUGAUCUAUCCAUGGCCAGGGUGAAGGUUAGGUAAAACUAACUGGAGGCCCGAACCCACUUAUGUUGAAAAAUGAGGGGAUGAGCUGUGGAUAGGGGUGAAAGGCCAAACAAACCCGGAGAUAGCUGGUUCUCUCCGAAAUCUAUUUAGGUAGAGCGUCAUGUAUUACUUCUGGGGGUAGAGCACUGUUAUGGCUAGCGGGUCGUCAAGACUUAGUAAACCAUUGCAAACUCCGAAUACCAGAAAGUAUGAGCAUGGCAGACACACUGCGGGUGCUAACGUCCGUAGUGGAAAGGGAAACAACCCAGACCGUCAGCUAAGGUCCCAAAAUUAUAGUUAAGUGGGAAACGAUGUGAAAAGGCAUAGACAGCCAGGAGGUUGGCUUAGAAGCAGCCAUUCCUUUAAAGAGUGCGUAAUAGCUCACUGGUCGAGUCGGUUUGCGCGGAAGAUUUAACGGGGCUAAACUAUAUACCGAAGCUGCGGAUCGCAAUUUAUUGCGAUGGUAGGAGAGCGUUCUGUAAGCCGUUGAAGGUGAACUGUGAGGUUUGCUGGAGGUAUCAGAAGUGCGAAUGCUGACAUGAGUAACGAUAAAGGGGGUGAAAAACCCCCUCGCCAGAAGUCCAAGGUUUCCUACGCAACGUUAAUCGGCGUAGGGUUAGUCGGCCCCUAAGGCGAGGCAGAAAUGCGUAGUCGAUGGGAAACGGGUUAAUAUUCCCGUACUUCAUAUAACUGCGAUGGGAAGACGGAGAAGGUUAGCUCAGCAAGGCGAUGGUUGUCCUUGUUCAAGCGUGUAGAAAUGGUUCUUAGGAAAAUCCGGGAACCUCUAUUUCAAGGCGUGAUAACGAUCCCUCUUUUGGGAGAAGUGAGUGAGACCAUGCUUCCAGGAAAAUCCUCUAAGCUUCAGGUUAUAUGAAACCGUACCCCAAACCGACACAGGUGGACGAGAUGAGAAUUCUAAGGCGCUUGAGAGAACUCGGGUGAAGGAACUAGGCAAAAUGACACCGUAACUUCGGGAGAAGGUGUACUCUUGUUAUGUGAUAUCACUUGCUGAUAAAGCAGAAAAGAGUUGAAAAUACUAGGUGGCUGCGACUGUUUAUUAAAAACACAGCACUCUGCAAACACGUAAGUGGACGUAUAGGGUGUGACUCCUGCCCGGUGCUUGAAGGUUAAUUGAUGAGGUUAGCGCUUGCGCGAAGCUUUUGAUCGAAGCCCAAGUAAACGGCGGCCGUAACUAUAACGGUCCUAAGGUAGCGAAAUUCCUUGUCGGGU